UUGAAUUCUGCAAUAACUUAUGAUCUCCCAUUGUAUCUUUCUGUUUCACUUUCAGUCCAAAUGACGGGUUUAAAGAAAGGACAAAGGAUGGAGUAAAGUGCAAUAAAAGGUUCUCGUGGGUUAGCUUAGCUACAGCUGAAGCAUAGUUAAGAAAGGAAACAUGGAGUGCCAAGUGCAGCGUCAGGAGAAUAACGAGUUAAUCAGAGAAGAAGCGUCUCUUGGUAAAUUAAAUGAGGCGUUAUCGUUCAUCAUCAGAGUGGUUGGAUGACGGUUGUUGGUAAUGAAGAAAUUGAAGGUGCCCAACGGAAAUGCCCCCAAGGCAACGGAAUUCAGAGUGAGCUAAUGCGAAUUUCAUCAAGUUCAAAUAUCAGAUAUGCAAUAAUGGUGUAGCAUUCAAAGAAUGUAAAUGAUAUUCAAUCAAUACCUUUUUAAGCUGCUUGCUUGCAGCAGUUUGCUUG
This is a long non-coding RNA of Neltuma alba, 458 nucleotides long. RefSeq lists it as uncharacterized. The transcript is spliced from 2 exons. NCBI's taxonomy places the organism in Eukaryota, Viridiplantae, Streptophyta, Magnoliopsida, Fabales, Fabaceae. The record is from RefSeq and is a predicted model, not a curated record.